AGCUGUGUCUACCCAGUCCAGGGCAGGUCAACAGGGAGCCUCCGGGCCAUGCAGGGGUCUGGGGGAGGAGGCUGGUGUGGCCCAGGUCUCAGGCAGGGGCUUGGUCCAACCCCUUCACCUGGCACUCAGCACUGCACUGGGGGUCCCCUGGGGGGGCUUCAAGCAUGCGGAUGGACAGGGCUGGGUGGGCCACUGGGACACAGGGAGGAGGGUUGGAGGCUCCCUUUCAAGCUUUGCCACGACCAAUGUUGACCACCGUGGGGCCAGCGGGGCUCUGGGUCCCAUGGGUGGGGCAGUGCGGGGUGGGCUCUUCCAGGGUGGAGACAAUCUUAGGCAGCGGCUGCAGGUCCCAUUCCCCCUGCAAGGAAGGCACAGAGCAGGCUGAGGCUCAGGCGGGCAGGUGCCCAGCAGCCUCCUGUCUUACCCGCACACUCCUCUCGACCUAGACUGGACUCCCAUUCCUCUAAGCUGCCCUUGGGGUGCCCUCCUGGGUUGAAUGCUCCCCCCCACGCCCCUUUGGGAGCCUAGGAGCCCCCAGACCCCCACGUAAUCCCCACCCUAACGCAGCGCUCCAGCCCCAUGCAGGCUCUGAGGUCCAGGCCUUGUUCCGAAGGAGGAGAGGCCGCGUCAGAGCGUUUUCUCCCGCCCUGCUGGCCAGCCCUGCCCGGGGUGCUGGAUUGUGUGAUCUAGAAGUUAAUCCAGCUCCCCAGAACCCCAGGAGAGGCCAGCUUCCCAGAUGUCCCGGCGCCCAGCUCAGCAUGGCCCUGGCCUCCCGGCCAGCAGCUUGGCCGCAGGCUGCUCGGCUGGGCACGAAUUAAGUGCCGUUGGAUCCCUGUAGGCGGAGGAGCCUGCUUGGGCUGCAGACUGGGGUGUCUGCUGCCCCCGCCCCCAGCGCUGUAUUUUUAGGCUCGUGGGAAGCUGCUGGUGCCCGCUCACACCCCACAUCAGCUGUCUCCCAGGGGCCUCUGCUCCCUGCUGUCCGUCCAUCUGGCCUGUCCCCCUGGUGGUUUUCUCCAUCCCUCCCGCGAGUGCUUCAAGUCAGCUGUUUGGGGUGCGGGCCCCUCGCCCGCCGGGGCCCUCCUCGGGCCUGGGGAGACCUGGGCGCGUGGUGUGGGCAGUGGCGGGUGCUGGCUGGCCUUGGAGGUGGAGAGGCCAGGGCUACCUGGAAGCGGACGGCCGAGGACCUGUUGCAGUGCAUGGAGAUGGGCGCGAAGGCGUAGAGCGCCCUCAGCACGUCGCGGCUGAAGGAGUUCCAGGGCACGGAGGCAAACUGCUGCGGGACGGUGGCCUGGGGGCAGGUGCAGACGUCCUCGCUGUUGAACCUGGCGGGGACAGUGCGGGAGAUGACAGGGAGCCCGCAGGAUGCAGGUGAGGCCCGCCGGUGGCCCCGUGCCACCUGCUCCCCAGCCCAGUGUCCUGGCCCCUCCACGCUGGCAGUGGGCUUGUCCCUGGCCUGCACCAGCUGGUCGCAGCCAGGGGACUGACUAGUGAUUCUGUCACUGUCACUGGCACCUCCUGAGUGCCACCCUGCUCCAAGAAGCAGCCUGGGUCCCGCCACGGUCCCUGGGGCAGAGUCAGGACACUCGCCUGUUCACCAGGUGGAAGUACUUCUGCAGGAAGCCGGGGUCCACGGCGCUCUUGCACAGCUCCAGGUGGGUCUGGGGGUAGUAGUGCACAUAGUUGACGCACAUCUCCUCCAGGAUCCCAAAGCCGCCCUGCAAGGCCAAGGAGACCCGUCAGCCUGGCCGUCACCCUGCCCGUGGUCCCCAGCAGUUUCCCAUGCACACUGUGCCCGCAUCUGCGCCUGCUGGCAGCACAGUGUCGGGCAGCGCACCCCCACCCCAUGGAGCAGGGGACAGAGUCCCGCCCCACAGGCUCCCUUCCUUGGCAGGCGCAGGCGGCCAACAAGCAUCAGUAAACCCACACUAGUGGUGAUGGUGCCCUGAUGAGGGGACGGGGCCGCGGACAGGGCCGCUGUUAUGCCCGUCCAUGGCUGUAGGUAGCGGAUCUCGGGGAGGACGAGGGGCAGCCCUGGGCUGGCUUCAAAGUCCAUGGCAGCAGGAUGGUGGCCAGGAGCUGUCCCUGGGGCUUCUAGCAAGGGCAGCAAGUAAGGAGCACCCUUCCACCGCCAACAGCCACUGGCCAUCGGUCACUCCCACAGCUUGGCUCUGACAGUGGCCAGAAGCCUCUCCUGGCCUCCAGCUGCCCAGCCCUCACCUGCAUGGCUCUGCCUCUGGACGCUCACUGUCCAGUGCACAAGGAGCUCCUGCCUAGAGGCACAUGGUGUGAGGCUGCCUGGCACAGGACAGCCUGCCCCGUUAGGGCCGGGCCUCGUGAAGCCCAGCAGGUGGGAUGUGUUGGAGCCCUGCCCCAGAGCAGUCGGCUACCUCCAAGCCUCGGUGGGUGCCUGCAAAGCUCCCUGGCCUCCGAGCUGUGGCCCUGAACCCAGAGAAGUUGUCCCCAGAUCCAGAGGGAGCAGGGAGGCAGGAGCAGCACAGCCUCAGGGCCCGGGUUAGACCCAGCAGACCUCAGCCCGAGACCCUGGGCCAGCGUCUUCCCGCUCUGGGCCUCUGUGGCUCCCAGGACGGAGCAGAGACUCCUGCUAAGUAGGGGUGGAGAGGACAAGGCCACCCACUGACGGACACAUCACGGUGACGUGCCACCUCGUGGGAGCAGAGCAUGGGCAAGCUGAGCUCUGUUGGAUCCCAAUGCCCUGCAACAUGGACAGAACUGGAAACUGCCCAGAGCAGGAGGCCAGGCCCAGAGGCCACACGGUCCUAGGCCAGUUACGAGAACUACCCAGAUUGGCCACUCCAGAGGCAGAAGGCAAGCAGAGUAGCCAGGCUGGGCAGGGCCUGCAGGGCGACAGCUCAGGGUGAGUUUCUUCCGGGGUGGUGAGGGCCUCUAACAUUGGCUGUGGGCAUGGCUGGGGGUGUCGGGGGCUGUACCAAGGUCACUGGAUCAGGGACCUACAUGAGCGAGUGGUGUGGCGGUGGAUCACAGCUCCGUGAUGCCAUCAAAGAUAGCCGUGACCUAGUCACAGAGAUGGACUGACCGUGCGCUGCUGCAUCAGGGUGGGGGCAGAGUCGAGGGCUCAGGUGCUGGGUGGGAUGCCACCCAGGUCUGGUCCCCUGAACCUCGGGACUCACGGAUGAGUCCUGCCUGCUGCCAUGCCAAGCCAGCAGGCUAGACCCACUGCCCCGCCUGCCCAGCGGAGACCACGUUCUCGCCACCGUCUCACCUGUCCUUGAGGAGGUCCUUCCCAUCAGCUGCUCCCCCUCCUUGGGCUGCCCACAACCCCGCCAGAAUGAGGCCUUCACAUCCCUGCAGUCUCCAGUCACCCGUGCCCACUGAUGCCCAUCCGUGCUUCUACCCUCCCCGGCCAACGCCCUCCAUCCGUCUCCGUCCCCUGGGCCUUCCUGCACACAGCCUGCCCCCCGGAGGCUGCCACCACCCUCUCCACCUUGCCACCUCCACCUUCUCUGGUCUCCGUGUGGUGCCGCUUUGGUGGUGAGGUUUCCGUGGCCCUAGCUCCCGGGCCACUCUCUGCUUUUCUGUUUCUACUAUGAUGCUGCUUGUCACUUAGGGCCAGUGGUUUGGUGCCCCGGUGGACUCGGCCCCACAGGGCCUCCUGGCUCCUCCCACACCCAGCCCAGUGCCGGGCACACAGGUGCCAACACGGCCUCUGUGGGAGCUCUGAGUCGGCAGCGGAGCAGCCAGCGGAGCUUGUGCCGGGCAGAGCUGGCGCUACCACCACAUUCCCCACUCAAAGGGGCUGGCGCGGCUGAGGUUUGCCCAGCUAACACACUGCCUGGGGCUGCCAACGCCACGGCCUGGGACCAGACUGAGAAUGGUGGUUGAUGGAAGGAGAGAGGGAGGGACCCGCUCCCUCUGGAGGAGGUGGGACUCGGCCAGGGGCAGUGUCAGGAAGUAGGCGCCCCCCCCCCCGUUGUGCUCCAGGAAGGCAGCUGGGGGUGGGGGACUUACCACAGUGGCCAGCUUCCUGUCCUCUGUGUUGUAUGUGCAAGAAGUGAUGAGCACGUCUCCCUGGAACAAGCCAGUGAUGGGUCAGCACCGCCAACCGGGGGCAGGCGCUGGGUCCACAUGUGGCCCACCCCUGUGAGAGUCAGUGUGCCACUUGCCCACCACGAGGAAGCCCUGUACACAGGAGCGCAAUCUGAGUGUCCACAUGGAUGCCAGCCCUCGGGGGUGUGGUUAGGGCCUGGCUGUGGUUAGGGCCUGGCCCAGGGGCGUGCAGGUUGGCUGGUCACCUCACAGCCCGAGUCCCCACCUGGACAGGGUUUGCCUUGGGUGCUACCAGCCGUCCUACCUCAAUACUCUCACCUCUGCCUGAAAGCUAUGGACUUGGAGUUCUGCUGACCAAGCUGGAGGACACCCACCUCUCUGAUGCCCUCAGUGUUCCUUUCUGAUGCCCUCUAUGCAGCACCAUGUGUCCCACCUGAGGUGGCCCAGGUCCCAUGCUACCCAUGGCUCUCUGCCCUGCCCUGUGGAUUUCCCUUCCCCAUCACCGUCUGUCUCCCUCCUCCAGGGAAAACACCCCCCACUCCGGCCAGCCUGCCCGGGCACUCACCUGAUGGACAGACACGACCUUCUUCAACAUGCGGAUCUCCUGGCAUGGGGGAAAAGGGGGCGUCAGAGGGCUCUGGCCCUCCUCCAUUAACUUCCCCCUGGGAGUCGGCUCUGAUCUGGCCUCCCCAGGGCUGCCAGGCUUGGCUAAGUGUGGGCUCUGGUCAGCGGGUGAGCCUGGGGCCAGAAGGCAGCUGUCCAGGAUGUGUCUCUCCCUGGUCCUGGUGGCAUGUGGCAGGCCCUCCCCAGACCAACACCAAGGGGCUGGGGAAGAUGCCCCAGCAUAGCGCCCCUCAGCGGAAACGGAAGGAGGCGUGACCCCUCCCCCCUACCUGGAAGUGAGGGCUGUAGUGGUUGUCCCUGUUCACAAUCUCUGUCUCCCGGCCGUCCCGGACCAACACGGUGACCACCUUCCUCCCGGUCAGAUGCGUGUGGAGUUGAGAGGCGAAGAUGUGGACCCCCGAGGAAGGUGUCUAGACCACAGGCUCUGACAGCCGGGCGUGUGGCCCCGGAGGGACAAGACACUCCGAGAGCGUCACCUUCAGGAAGCCAUCCACAUAGAUGUGAUUUUUCAAAAAGAGCUGGGUCACUUCCACCUGGACACUCUAGUAGAAGGCCGGUCUGCAUUCCUGAGGCUGGAUGGGUGGUCUCCAGGUAAGAGGGGUCCAAGGGACCUCAGCCCCCCACAGUAGGCAGGGCCGCGGUCACUUUUGCCCAGUGAACCCUGAGGAGGUGAGGCCAGCCCGAGGCCAAAGAGCCUUCUACAGACAGGGAAAGGAAUAUCCCCAACGGGGACCUUGGGGGUGGAAGACAGUAUGCGAGGCAGGGCAGGAAACCAUUGUGACCCCCACUUCGAAGCUGCUGCUGCCCAGAGGCACAGCCCUGGAGUCACCCAGACCUGCCUCCCACCUCACCCUGGGGCUGCUGGGGACAUGGCCUCCGCAGGCUCUGUCUCCCCCAUUGUGAAAUGGGCACCAGGACAUUUACCUGCCACUCACUGGGAAGCAGAGUCCAAUGUUUACAACAGACUGUGAAGUGGCACCCCGUUAUCCAAAAGCCCCCGGAAACAGCGGUGGCAAGAGGCCAGGCCCGUGGGAGAAGCCGGGCCAAGCCUGGGAGCCCAGACUCCAGGAAAGAAGAACAGUGGGCACAGGCCCAAGGAGGCCCAGCCCUGGGAGGCCCGGAGGGACCCUGAGCGGCAUGGCCGUGUCCGCCUCCCAGGUGGCCGGAAGACAUUCAAGAGAUGGACAACAUGUCGGUCGGGGCAUCUCCUUCCACGUGGGCCAAAGCCUGGGGAGGGCUUUCUGCGGCCCUUUGGAGAUGUGUUCUGAGGGCAGGUCGAGUCUCGACCUCUGACCCACGUUUCCCCACACACAGGAAAUGUCCCUGCAGCUUCUCUGUGGGUGGGACACGGGCCCAGCCCGGCCCAGGAAGGCAGGCGAGGGAGCCUGAGCCGGGCCUCGGGGCUAGUGCACUCAGUGCAGCCUGUGCCCUGUGCCCGCAGAGCCCGGGGCAUGCUGGGUGCCCUGCCGCCUCCCAGCCCCACUCUGGUCAGGUUCCUAGAGAAGCCUCCCACUGGGGGGCCGGGGGUGUUACCCAGAGGCUGAAGGCGAGUCCCAGGACUCAAUUCACCCAGCAAUCUAUAAACUACUGUCAACUUCUCAA
This is a long non-coding RNA of Marmota monax (woodchuck), 6252 nucleotides long. RefSeq lists it as uncharacterized. Lineage: Eukaryota; Metazoa; Chordata; Mammalia; Rodentia; Sciuridae. The transcript is spliced from 2 exons. The record is from RefSeq and is a predicted model, not a curated record.